RNAcentral lists this transfer RNA (76 nucleotides) under Stenotrophomonas phage Moby. RNAcentral's name for it is "tRNA-Ala". It matches the Rfam family "tRNA". Rfam says of the family: Transfer RNA (tRNA) molecules are approximately 80 nucleotides in length. The record is from RNAcentral. Lineage: Duplodnaviria; Heunggongvirae; Uroviricota; Caudoviricetes. RNAcentral also lists the same sequence under 4 other names.
GGGCUGUUAGCUCAGAUGGGAGAGCGCCUGCCUUGCACGCAGGAGGUCGUCGGUUCGAUCCCGACACGGUCCACCA